AACGAACGCUGGCGGCAGGCUUAACACAUGCAAGUCGAACGCAUCCUUCGGGGUGAGUGGCAGACGGGUGAGUAACGCGUGGGAAUCUACCCUGAUCUGCGGGAUAGCUCCGGGAAACUGGAAUUAAUACCGCAUAUGUCCUGAGGGACAAAGAUUCAUCGGUUCAGGAUGAGCCCGCGUCCGAUUAGCUAGUUGGUGGGGUAAAGGCCUACCAAGGCGACGAGCGGUAGCUGGUCUAAGAGGACGAUCAGCCUCAUUGGGACUGAGACACGGCCCAACCUCCUACGGGAGGCAGCAGUGGGGAAUAUUGGACAAUGGGCGCAAGCCUGAUCCAGCCAUGCCGCGUGAGUGAUGAAGGUCUUAGGAUUGUAAAGCUCUUUCACCGGGGACGAUAAUGACGGUACCCGGAGAAGAAGCCCCGGCUAACUUCGUGCCAGCCGCCGCCGUAA
This 449-nucleotide ribosomal RNA is filed under the name uncultured bacterium. RNAcentral describes it as "partial 16S ribosomal RNA". It matches the Rfam family "Bacterial small subunit ribosomal RNA", at positions 29 to 523 of the family's 1533-position model. The record is from RNAcentral.